RNAcentral lists this ribosomal RNA (490 nucleotides) under Streptococcus equi subsp. zooepidemicus. Its description in RNAcentral is "bacterial SSU rRNA". It matches the Rfam family "Bacterial small subunit ribosomal RNA", at positions 57 to 524 of the family's 1533-position model. The record is from RNAcentral. Lineage: Bacteria; Bacillati; Bacillota; Bacilli; Lactobacillales; Streptococcaceae.
GCAAGUGGAACGCACAGAUGAUACGUAGCUUGCUACAAUUAUCUGUGAGUCGCGAACGGGUGAGUAACGCGUAGGUAACCUAGCUUAUAGCGGGGGAUAACUAUUGGAAACGAUAGCUAAUACCGCAUAAAAGUGGUUAACCCAUGUUAACCAUUUAAAAGGAGCAACAGCUCCACUAUGAGAUGGACCUGCGUUGUAUUAGCUAGUUGGUAGGGUAAAGGCCUACCAAGGCGACGAUACAUAGCCGACCUGAGAGGGUGAACGGCCACACUGGGACUGAGACACGGCCCAGACUCCUACGGGAGGCAGCAGUAGGGAAUCUUCGGCAAUGGGGGGAACCCUGACCGAGCAACGCCGCGUGAGUGAAGAAGGUUUUCGGAUCGUAAAGCUCUGUUGUUAGAGAAGAACAGUGAUGGGAGUGGAAAGUCCAUCAUGUGACGGUAACUAACCAGAAAGGGACGGCUAACUACGUGCCAGCAGCCGCGGUAAA